This is a long non-coding RNA of Sapajus apella (tufted capuchin), 184 nucleotides long. RefSeq lists it as uncharacterized. The record is from RefSeq and is a predicted model, not a curated record. The transcript is spliced from 3 exons. Lineage: Eukaryota; Metazoa; Chordata; Mammalia; Primates; Cebidae.
CUAGAUAGCAGGCUGAAGUCUCGUUCCUUAUCAGAAUUAACCAGACAGAUCGCUCCACCAACUAACAACAGCCAUGCACCACCACCCAUAGAACUGAGAAAGAGCUGUCAAUCUGUCUGCUAAUCCUGUCCAUGUACAGGCUGGUUGAGGUUUACCGUGAGGUUUCCAGGUGAGGCCUACAGGC